Molecule: ribosomal RNA, 937 nt
Filed under: uncultured archaeon
Lineage: Archaea
Description: bacterial SSU rRNA
Rfam family: Archaeal small subunit ribosomal RNA
Source: RNAcentral
UUCCGGUUGAUCCUGCCGGACCCGACUGCUAUUUGGGUGAGGAUAAGCCAUGCGAGUUGAAUGGGAUACCUAAAUUUCCCAUGGCAAACUGCUCAGUAACACAUGAUCAACUUACCCUAUAGAGAAAAAUAACCUCGGGAAACUGAGGAUAAUGUUUCAUAGUUGAAUAGGCUUGGAAAAGUUUUUCAAUAAAAGGGAUAAAAAAAAUGGUUUUUAUCUGCUAUAGGAUAGGAUCGUGGACGAUUAUGGUUGUUGGUGAGGUAACGGCUCACCAAGCCGAUAAUCGAUAGGGGCCGUGAGAGCGGGAGCCCCGAGAUGGGUACUGAGACAACGACCCAGGCCUUACGAGGCGCAGCAGGCGCGGAACCUCCGCAAUACACGAAAGUGUGACGGGGUUACCCAAAGUGUUCAAUUCUGAACUGUGGUAGGUGAGUAAUGUUCCCUACUAGAAAGGAGAGGGCAAGGCUGGUGCCAGCCGCCGCGGUAAAACCAGCUCUUCAAGUGGUCGGGAUAAUUAUUGGGCUUAAAGUGUCCGUAGCCGGUUUAGUAAGUUCCUGGUAAAAUCGGGUAGCUUAACUAUCCAUAUGCUAGGAAUACUGCUAUACUAGAGGGCGGGAGAGGUCUGAGGUACUACAGGGGUAGGGGUGAAAUCUUAUAAUCCUUGUAGGACCACCAGUGGCGAAGGCGUCGGACUGGAACGCGCCUGACGGUGAGGGACGAAAGCCAGGGGAGCGAACCGGAUUAGAUACCCGGGUAGUCCUGGCCGUAAACGAUGCAUACUAUGUGAUGGUACGGCCAUGAGCCGUAUCAGUGCCGUAGGGAAACCGUUAAGUGUGCCGCCUGGGAAGUACGGUCGCAAGGCUAAAACUUAAAGGAAUUGGCGGGGGAGCGCCACAGGGGUGAAGCCUGCGUUCAAUUGGACUCAACGCCGGUAAUC